Molecule: ribosomal RNA, 497 nt
Filed under: uncultured bacterium
Lineage: Bacteria
Description: partial 16S ribosomal RNA
Rfam family: Bacterial small subunit ribosomal RNA
Source: RNAcentral
GAUGAACGCUGGCGGCGUGCCUAAUACAUGCAAGUCGAGCGAACAGACGAGGAGCUUGCUCCUCUGACGUUAGCGGCGGACGGGUGAGUAACACGUGGAUAACCUACCUAUAAGACUGGGAUAACUUCGGGAAACCGGAGCUAAUACCGGAUAAUAUAUUGAACCGCAUGGUUCAAUAGUGAAAGACGGUUUUGCUGUCACUUAUAGAUGGAUCCGCGCCGCAUUAGCUAGUUGGUAAGGUAACGGCUUACCAAGGCAACGAUGCGUAGCCGACCUGAGAGGGUGAUCGGCCACACUGGAACUGAGACACGGUCCAGACUCCUACGGGAGGCAGCAGUAGGGAAUCUUGCGCAAUGGGCGAAAGCCUGACGGAGCAACGCCGCGUGAGUGAUGAAGGUCUUCGGAUCGUAAAGCUCUGUUAUUAGGGAAGAACAAAUGUGUAAGUAACUAUGCACGUCUUGACGGUACCUAAACAGAAAGCCACGGCUAACUACGUG